UACAUGUGGGGCAAGCGUUGUUCGGAAUUACUAAACAUAAAAAAUGCGUAAAUAAUCUGUUAAGUCAGUGGUAAAAUCCCGCGGCCCAACCGUGGAACUGCCAUCGAUACUGGCGGACUUGAGUGCGUGAAGGGUUACCGGAACGAGCAGUGUAGCGGUGAAAUGCGUAGAUAUUGCUCGGAAGGCCAGAGGCGAAGGCAGGUAACUGGCACGCAACUGACACUGAGGCACGAAAGCGUGGGGAGCAAACAGG
This 253-nucleotide ribosomal RNA is filed under the name uncultured bacterium. Its description in RNAcentral is "partial 16S ribosomal RNA". It matches the Rfam family "Bacterial small subunit ribosomal RNA", at positions 524 to 776 of the family's 1533-position model. The record is from RNAcentral.